This 72-nucleotide transfer RNA is filed under the name Camelus ferus (Wild Bactrian camel). It matches the Rfam family "tRNA". Rfam says of the family: Transfer RNA (tRNA) molecules are approximately 80 nucleotides in length. Their secondary structure includes four short double-helical elements and three loops (D, anti-codon, and T loops). Further hydrogen bonds mediate the characteristic L-shaped molecular structure. tRNAs have two regions of fundamental functional importance: the anti-codon, which is responsible for specific mRNA codon recognition, and the 3' end, to which the tRNAs corresponding amino acid is attached (by aminoacyl-tRNA synthetases). tRNAs cope with the degeneracy of the genetic code in two manners: having more than one tRNA (with a specific anti-codon) for a particular amino acid; and 'wobble' base-pairing, i.e. permitting non-standard base-pairing at the 3rd anti-codon position. The record is from Rfam by way of RNAcentral. Lineage: Eukaryota; Metazoa; Chordata; Mammalia; Artiodactyla; Camelidae.
GGGUAUAUAGCUCAGUGGUAGAGAGCAUGCUUAGCAUGCAUGAGGUCCUGGGUUUGAUCCCCCAUACCUCCU